GACUGGCUCUGAUACCAACCUGAUAGGGAAAAACCAACGCGAUGGUUGACGAAGGAGAUUCAAGCCGAUGGAAGAUAGAACUCAGGAGGAAGAAUUGAUUUUAUUGAGUUGUUUAAUCAAACAAGAAAAUACAGUUCACAGAAAUUACAAAACGAAGUGUCAAAGUUUUCUCAGGAAAUCGAGAGAUCGGCAGACGGUGCGAGUUGACGAGCGGUGUGAUGCAAGCCGGAAUCCACCGGUUGAUUAACACUGGAUUCCACCAGCAAAGUUAGAGAAGAAGAAAGAGAUGACUAGGAGUGACGAAGAAAUAUUACCUGAAGGCAAAAUAAAACGUCUCCCCGAAGUCCUUGCAAGGCUUCGUCUUUUGUAGCUUUCGCGUCGUCAGUUAGGAGCGAGCGACUAACUGCCAUGGUUGUUACGUCGGUUGUGUUGACGUGUCCUUCAUCAGAUAUCUACUAAAAUAGUAUCCGAUCG
Molecule: long non-coding RNA, 474 nt
Filed under: Zostera marina
Lineage: Eukaryota; Viridiplantae; Streptophyta; Magnoliopsida; Alismatales; Zosteraceae
Description: long non-coding RNA (ZMAR_LNC006171)
Source: RNAcentral